GACGUACUGGCGGGAAUUUUGUUGUUUAUAAUUUUACUACUUUGAGUGUGACAGGUUUAUUGUUAUCUUGUGAAGCUACCUUUGUAAAGCUUUAUUUAUUUGUAAACAAUCUUAAACUGAAGCUGAAAGUGGCGCAGUAAUGAUUGGGUGUCACGGAAGUGCAAGUGCCAGUGGCAGUGGUUUUGCCACUCAGAAUUAUGAACAGCGAUGUAUUUGAUUCUGAGGAUUUAUUAGAUGACGAUAGGAAGUCAGAUGUUCACGAAUUCAGUGACAAUGAAUGCAGUGGCCCACUGGCUAUGGAUGGAUCAGAUGAAGAAGAUGGCUAUAGUUUAGACAGCAUUAAGAAGAAUGCAAGGAAAGGAUACAGACAAAAGUCAGAUAAGAAUAAUAAAGACAAAGGGGUAAAAGAUAAGAGACCUCGGAAGAGUGCAGAAGGGAGAAAUCAGAUCCACAGUGAAACACAGAGGAUUAUUAGACAAUCAAGCGUGUCCCUGCCGUAUCAUAAGCCGAAGCCACUUACGUUGGCCGAGUUUCUCACCCGAAAGAAAGAAACGCGCCCAAUAAAGUUGACACCAAGUGAGAUACGUCAUGAAGCCAAAUUGCAGAAGGCAGCAUCACGGAAGGAGCCUCGUCGUUCUUUGCCCGAUCUUGGCGGAAACGACGAUGCUACUAUCCAGACGGAAAGUUCCUUGUGUGUGUCAAACGACGAUGCUACUAUCCAGAAGGAAAGUUCCUCGUGUUUUUCAAACGACGAUGUGCGUGACUGUGUCAACGGAACCAAUGACGAGCUGCCAGAUCUCAGCAUUGUCAUCGGCCAGAGUGCUGCGGUCGGCGAGACCCCCAGUGCGUCCGGUGAUAGAGUGGAGACGGGAGGUAUGCCUGAGGAUAGUGUGGGAAGAAAUGUGGCUCAAGACGCGAGUUUUGUCGCCGUAGACAUCGAUCUGCCAUCAUCAGUUGCUCCUCUAACUCCAAGUGACGAGAAAGCAGAGUCUGUAGGUCUGAGUGUCCACCCAGAUACGAACGCGAUCGAAGGAGAUAGCUGGCAACCAGUUACUAAUCGGGAAAGUGAAGCUGGUGACCUCGUACAGGAAAGCGAAUCCCUGAACCUCGUACAGGAAAGGGAAUCCCUGAACCUCGUACAGGAAAGCGAAUCCCUGAACCUCGUACAGGAAAGCGAAUCCCUGAUCCUCGUACAGGAAAGCGAAUCCCUGAACCUCGUACAGGAAAGCGAAUCCCUGAACCUCAUCCUGGAGGAAGAUGAGAAGGGGAAUCCUGCUGUCGACCAGAAAAUGACAGCUGUGGUCGACGCGUCGCCAGAGAGAAAGGCAAAGUCUUUCCGCUUCGACGACGACUUGGACGACGCAGAAGCAGCUUGGCCAGGCGUCGGUGAGAGUCAGGACUGUGCACCCUCGACGUCGGGGUUGAUGUCGCCGAGGAGAAGGAGCGGAGUGACGCCGAAACUUGCUGCUCUGAAGCUACAAGCUCUGAGGAAUGCGCGUGUGGCGCCUCGUCUAAGCAGCGGGCCGAAAGAUUAUAUUAAACUCUCCGGGCAAGAGAUGGCGCCACCACAGCCACGCGGCAUGGUUGACCUGAAGCAGCGGUUCAUGAAGCACACUGCAAAGCAAACGCCACGUCGACGACACGAUGUGCAGCUGCAUAUUGUGCAUAAAGAGGCAGACACACAGGGAAAGGAGAUACUGGUCACUGAUUCUAUCAACGUGUCAAUCUCAGGAGAUGAAGAGACUAACCUUCAGCAUAAUAAACCUGGAGCAAAACUGCUAAAGCUGCGUGAAUCCCUAAAAGUGAAAAUCAAGGAAAGAAGAGACCAGAGCCUGCAACGAAGAACCGAACUGUACAAGCUUGAUAAUGAGGAGGAAUGUGAGGGAGAAGAGGAAGAUGUUGAGGAAGAGGAGGAAGAAGCAGAAGAGGAGCUCACAACAGAUGAAGAAAGUGAUGAACAGGUUUCCGAGAACAAGGUUAAGAGAAAGAAAUCCAAAUGCACUUACGUAACCGAGGAGUGUGAAGAAGAAGCAGCAGAAGGUGGUGAUGAUAGUGACGACGAUGAUGAUAAUGAGGAAGAGGAUGAUGAAGGAGGAGAUGCAGAUUCAGAGGCUGAAGAUGAAGAUUUACAGCAGGUCGAAGAAGGUGGAGUAGAAGAGGAAGAGCAGAUGGAGUUGACUUUACACACAGACUCGGAGAGUGAUGAUGUACCAGAUGAUAAGGGGGGAGAGAGCCGUUCGAUCGCAUCAAAGUUUACUUGGAAGCAAGUAUCCCCAGUCUGUAACUCCAUCAACACCAUCCAGGACCUCUUUGGCACAGGGCCUAGCUCAAGUGAUAAAAGCAGGAGUCCUGCCCUUACGAAUCUUAAAAAGAGGCUCAGCCAUGAAACUAUGCAUGGAGCCCUGUCACAUCAAAAGUCAAAGGACCUAUUUGAAGAGCAUGAGUCCCACCCUGCUCGUAUGGGCUUUAUGACUGCAUCUGAUCCAGACUCAAGUUUCGAGUUUGGCGGUUCUAUAAUUCCUCCAAACCAACCAGCAGUAGGCAUGACAGAAGGUGGAACCAAUAUACAAACCCAACAGCCGGAAUUUCUCACUCCUAUGCCAAGAGAGAAAGCAUUUGCUUUAUUAAGAUCGGAUUCCAACAGCACCAAAAUGUUAAUGCCUGUUGAAGACUCUCAGGACUUGUACGAAGGCACGACUGGAAAGCAGGCGACAGUCAGUUCGUCGAGUGAGUCACAGCUUGGUUUUCGUCUGCCAAUGUACGAGGACAGCCAGUUGAGCCAGUUGCUGGAUGCAGAUGGCUUCUUAAAGACGAGGAAGAGCAGCGAUAAGAAGAGCCACAAGCAGAAGCUGCCGAUGACGGAGGAUGACAACGCGGCCGACAUGGGAGAGCUGCUGCAGCUCUGCUCGGGGCAAUUUGCGACAGACACGCCCAGCAGCCAGGAGCGCAAGUCCGCGAAGAACCUGUUUGGCUCGCGUGCAGACGACGGCGAGACGAUGGAAGAUCUCGUCAACCUGUGUUCGGGAACGUUCGGCGCGAGUAGCGAACCGCAGACGAUGUUCGCUGCGGGUGGAGAAGCUGGAGGCGUGUUCGGCGGUGGCGAGUCGCGCCUCAAAGGGAUAUUCGGAAGUCAACUCGACAGAGUUCCGAGCAAAGCCAACAUGAAGGAGGUCGUCGGACUUUGUUCUGGCACCUUCUCUGCUGAGCCAAGCAUUGAACCAGAUGAGCCAACAGCAGUCGCCCCGUCAAAUUGUGGGAGCAGCUCCAUUGCAUGCUCUGAGACAUUUACACCCCAUCUAAGCAGUAACGGUCACCAGGAAACCAAUACUGCAUCGAUAAUGGCAACGUCACAGGAUAACCAUCUUGGGUUUACUGGCUUCUUUACUGGCGGCGGACGCCCAACCCCGGCCGACCCCGAGGAGGAGGCGCAGGACGACGAUUUCGUGAUUGUGACAGGUCACAACUUUGACAGCGACGACGACGACGACGAUGACGAAGACGACGAUGAAUUUGUCGUUUGUCGGCGGAGAAAGGCGCGGCCGCCGACGGCUGAGUCGGAUGCGGAGGCGAGCGACGACGCGUCGGCGAACAUCGACUUUGAGCCGAACCUCGGCGACCUUGGCUCGGGGGUCAAGAAGCGAAGGUCGAGAAUCCGGAGGCCGGUGUUUAGCGACGAGGAGGAAUCGAGCGUUGUUGCGCACGAGUGGCAGGCAGCGGAGGACAAUUCUAGCAGGGGCUUUCAACUCAUUGCGAACACUAGAAAACAGGUCAUCAGUAAAGAAUUUCUUGAGGCAGAGGCAGAGUUGUCCGGCAGUGAGGUGGGUAGCGAUGAGGAUUGGGAUGGGGCAGAGGAGGAUGACGUUAUGGAGGAGGAGAUGGGAGACAUUGAGGACCUUCCCUCCAACAAUGAACUACGAGAUCAGAUCAACAAGGUUCACAUGAAACAAAUGAUAGACGAUGACAACAGAGAGCUGAGGCUAUAUCAGGAGGCCUUCUUAGAGGAUGGAGACUUGUGGAAUGGCAGCAAGGGUAGACAGCGACAGUUCAAGUGGAAAAAUAUAGAUGACAUAAAUGACGCCGAUCGACCCUCCGGCUAUGGGUCUGAUGAUGAGAAUGUGGUCAGAGACGAUGUGGAUGAGCAGGAUAGCCAGUGGCGUAAAGCCAGGUUUGAGAGAGACCAGUGGUUGCAAGACAACAAGAAAUCAAUUGAUGCAGAGUUACCAGAAGAUGAGCAGAGUCAACGUUUCAAGUUUGACGAUGCAGUUUUCAAGAAAAAAAGAAAACAUACAGCAACAAAAGCUAUUACCUAGUAACCAAACCAACACAGCAAAGAAGGAUGGAGCACCAGUAACACCUACGAAAAUGUUCAAACUAUCUCAAUGGAAGGGCUCGUUCCUGUCUAGAGGAAAGCAUACACUUAGCAAGCUGGCAGCGAUGACUAAGAGUGAGGGCAAUGUUAAUGGACCGAA
Molecule: unclassified non-coding RNA, 4469 nt
Filed under: Priapulus caudatus
Lineage: Eukaryota; Metazoa; Priapulida; Priapulimorpha; Priapulimorphida; Priapulidae
Description: claspin-like, transcript variant X1
Source: RNAcentral